This 497-nucleotide ribosomal RNA is filed under the name uncultured bacterium. RNAcentral describes it as "partial 16S ribosomal RNA". It matches the Rfam family "Bacterial small subunit ribosomal RNA", at positions 28 to 507 of the family's 1533-position model. The record is from RNAcentral.
GAUGAACGCUGGCGGCGUGCCUAAUACAUGCAAGUCGAGCGAACAGACGAGGAGCUUGCUCCUCUGACGUUAGCGGCGGACGGGUGAGUAACACGUGGAUAACCUACCUAUAAGACUGGGAUAACUUCGGGAAACCGGAGCUAAUACCGGAUAAUAUAUUGAACCGCAUGGUUCAGUAGUGAAAGACGGUUUUGCUGUCACUUAUAGAUGGAUCCGCGCCGCAUUAGCUAGUUGGUAAGGUAACGGCUUACCAAGGCGACGAUGCGUAGCCGACCUGAGAGGGUGAUCGGCCACACUGGGACUGAGACACGGUCCAGACUCCUACGGGAGGCAGCAGUAGGGAAUCUUCCGCAAUGGGCGAAAGCCUGACGGAGCAACGCCGCGUGAGUGAUGAAGGUCUUCGGAUCGUAAAACUCUGUUAUUAGGGAAGAACAAAUGUGUAAGUAACUAUGCACGUCUUGACGGUACCUAAUCAGAAAGCCACGGCUAACUACGUG